AAUAGACCCUGAACCCGUCUGCCUACAAGCGGUCGGAGCGUCGUAAUGACGUGACGGCGUGCCUUUUGCAUAAUGAACCUACGAGUUACCUUCCCCGGCAAGGUUAAGUUCUUGAGGAACGGAGCCGAAGCGAAAGCGAGUCUGAACAGGGCGCCAAGUCGGGGGGGGUAGACGCGAAACCGAGUGAUCUACCCUUGGCCAGGUUGAAGGUUGGGUAACACCAACUGGAGGACCGGAUGGGUAAGCGUUGAAAAGCUUUCCAAUGAGCUGAGGGUAGGGGUGAAAGGCUAAUCAAACUCGGAGAUAGCUCGUACUCCCCGAAAUGCAUUUAGGUGCAGCCUCUUUAUAGUAUAUCGUGAGGUAGAGCGACUGAUUGGAUGCGAGGGCUUCACCGCCUAUCAAGUCCAGAUAAACUCCGAAUGCGCGAUAUAUAUUUACAGGGAGUGAGGGCGCGGGUGCUAAGGUCCGUGUCCGAGAGGAGAAGAAUCCAGACCACCGGCUAAGGCCCCCAAAUGAUCGUUAAGUUGAACUAACGAGGUCGGAUCGCAGAGACAGCUAGGAUGUUGGCUUGGAAGCAGCCAUUCAUUUAAAGAGUGCGUAACAGCUCACUAGUCGAGCGAUCUGGCGUGGAUAAUAAUCGGGCAUAAACGAUCUGCCGAAGCCGUGGAUGUCGCAAGACAUGGUAGGGGAGCAUUCCAUGCCGCGUCGAAGAUGAGGGAUGACCCUUGUUGGAGCGCAUGGAAAAGCAAAUGUAGGUAUGAGUAACGAUAAGGGGGGCGAGAAACCCCCCCGCCGAAAGACCAAGGUUUCCUGAUCAACGCUAAUCGGAUCAGGGUGAGUCGGGACCUAAGGCAAAGCCGAACGGCGCCGCCGAUGGAAGAAUGGGUUAAUAUUCCCAUACUGCCUCAUGGAGUGACGUGGAGACGGAGAAGUGACAGUCCUGCCGGCUGACGGAAUAGCCGGUUGAAGGGUGUAGAUAUUGAUUCCCGUAGGCAAAUCCGCGGGGAGAGUCGAACCUGAGAGUAUACGGAGCGCUUGCGCAACGUAAUAUGGACGUAACCAUGCUCCCGAGAAAAUCCGCUAAACUUAUCCAUGCGGCACCCGUACCGUAAACGGACACACGUGGUCGGGUUGAGAAUACUGAGGCGCUCGAGUGAUUCACGGUUAAGGAACUAGGCAAAUUGACCCUGUAACUUCGGGAUAAAGGGUCCUCGUCGUAAGGCGAGGCGCAGAGAAUAGGUCCAGGCAACUGUUUAACAAAAACACAUGGCUGUGCUAAAUGGAAACAUGAUGUAUACAGCCUGACACCUGCCCGGUGCCGGAAGGUUAAGAGGAGAUGUCAUCCGCGAGGAGAAGCGUUGAAUUGAAGCCCCGGUAAACGGCGGCCGUAACUAUAACGGUCCUAAGGUAGCGAAAUUCCUUGUCAGGUAAG
RNAcentral lists this ribosomal RNA (1432 nucleotides) under human gut metagenome. Its description in RNAcentral is "bacterial LSU rRNA". It matches the Rfam family "Bacterial large subunit ribosomal RNA", at positions 542 to 1980 of the family's 2925-position model. The record is from RNAcentral.